CCCUUAGAUGUCCUGGGCCGCACGCGCGUUACACUGAUGCAUUCAACGAGCUUAUAACCUUGGCCGAGAGGCCUGGGCAAUCUUGUUAACGUGCAUCGUGAUAGGGAUAGAUUAUUGAAAUUAUUAAUCUUGAACGAGGAAUUCCUAGUAAACGCAGAUCAUCAAUCUGCAUUGAUUACGUCCCUGCCCUUUGUACACACCGCCCGUCGCACCUACCGAUUGAAUGGUCCGGUGAAAUCUUCGGAUUGAGACCUUGAUUUGUUUACUCAAAACGCUGUUUCAAGAAGUUGAUUAAACCUUACCAUUUAGAGGAAGGUGAAGUCGUAACA
This 329-nucleotide ribosomal RNA is filed under the name uncultured eukaryote. RNAcentral describes it as "partial 18S ribosomal RNA". It matches the Rfam family "Eukaryotic small subunit ribosomal RNA", at positions 1470 to 1796 of the family's 1831-position model. The record is from RNAcentral.